CCUACACUUGUGAAUUAGUAGGAAGCAUAAUGGGAACGACUGUGUCAGCUUGCUUCCUUUUAUUCGUUCUCCAAGUAACAGCCCAAAACAGUCAGUUGCAGCAGAAAGUCAACCGGCUUGAAAGGAAGAUUGCUGAUAUGGAGCAAGAAAUUAAACUGUUGACAGCAUCAAAAAGAGGUGCUGAUGGCCCAUCUGGUCUUCCUGGACGUGACGGACGAGACGGUAU
Molecule: long non-coding RNA, 226 nt
Organism: Corticium candelabrum
Lineage: Eukaryota; Metazoa; Porifera; Homoscleromorpha; Homosclerophorida; Plakinidae
Exons: 3
Source: RefSeq, a predicted model, not a curated record